UUGACCUGUAUGUAGUUGUUGACAUGGUUAGUCACCCUUUUCUCCUUGAUAUUCUCUUUUCUCUAGGUUUCUGUGACACUACUGUCUCCUGGUUCUCCCUCUACCUGACUUCAUAAUCUUUAAUCAGGAAAGAAGGCUUUCCAGGAUCAGAAAAUAGGGAGCUAGGAGUUAGUGGAUCCCUGGAUUGGUUACUUCUACCAGUAUUGGAUUUUCCUGUGGAGUCCACUGUCUUGUUGCUUUGAAAGUGAGAAGCUUGAACUUGUCAUCAAGAAAGAAGGGCCUUACGACUCCUACGUCCAAUCAGGGACAUUUUUGCAGGGCUCUGGAUACUCUGGACAGAUGUCUUCUCUUUCCUAGUAAGAAACUCAAAAUGUACUUGUCCAAUGACAGUAAGUAUUGAAUUGAUUCUGAAACAAAUACAAAGAAGUGUUAGCCAUGAGUUCCUGCCCUUGAGUAG
This 457-nucleotide long non-coding RNA is filed under the name Vombatus ursinus (common wombat). RNAcentral describes it as "lncRNA (ENSVURG00010003976.1)". Lineage: Eukaryota; Metazoa; Chordata; Mammalia; Diprotodontia; Vombatidae. The record is from RNAcentral.